Phaseolus vulgaris (common bean) is the source of this 119-nucleotide non-coding RNA. The record is from Rfam. NCBI's taxonomy places the organism in Eukaryota, Viridiplantae, Streptophyta, Magnoliopsida, Fabales, Fabaceae.
AGGUGCGAUCAUACCAGCACUAAUGCACCGGAUCCCAUCAGAACUCCGCAGCUAAGCGUGCUUGGGCGAGAGUAGUACUAGGAUGGGUUACCUCCUGGGAAGUCCUCGUGUUGCACUUC